UUCUGCCCUGGAACUCGUGCAGGUACGUAGUAGCUGCUACUGCCAGAACGGCAACACCAAGCAAGAGAUGGUCCAUGCUUUUCUGACGUUCUCAGAAUAGUGGCUAGCUUCAAACCUGACAAGCGCUGCUUGAAGCCGGAACACUAGAGAAUGUUGCUGAGAGCAGAAACGGCCACGCGGGUCACGACUAUGCGUGGGAAAGUCUCAAGCUUCCCUCCUGCCAGCAACAAGAAGGCUUUGGAGUAGGCAUGAUGUUUUCACGUGUGCGUGCCGUUUCUCCAAGCACUGCAGGUUCCACCGUGUGUCAGAGGCUGCAAGUUUAACAUCCUCCUGCCUGAAAACAAAUAGGUCCUUUGCUGAAAAGAGGGUAAAAAAAGAGCUUUGAUCGUCUCAGCCAGGAGAAGAGGGUGGUGUUUUCACGCGGGCAACUGCUCGCCGGCCUACAUGGGGUUAAUUCAAGUCUGCUGCGAGCACGACUCCGCCCUUGGCACUGGCCUCCAGCAAGCCCUGUUCUCUUUGGGGUACAGGGGAACGGGAUGGUUUAGACUUUCCUGCUCAGUGUGUAAAAAAUGUAGCUAAAGCCACUAUUUUUGCUCUCCUUAAGCUGUUCAAUAAACCGGUUCCUCAUUUU
Molecule: long non-coding RNA, 631 nt
Filed under: Homo sapiens (human)
Lineage: Eukaryota; Metazoa; Chordata; Mammalia; Primates; Hominidae
Description: non-protein coding lnc-HSFX1-1:1
Source: RNAcentral